RNAcentral lists this ribosomal RNA (456 nucleotides) under uncultured bacterium. RNAcentral describes it as "bacterial SSU rRNA". It matches the Rfam family "Bacterial small subunit ribosomal RNA", at positions 791 to 1243 of the family's 1533-position model. The record is from RNAcentral.
UAGUCCACGCUGUAAACGAUGAGUGCUAGGUGUCGGGGGUCGACAGGCCUUCGGUGCCGACGCAAACGCAUUAAGCACUCCACCUGGGGAGUACGAUCGCAAGAUUGAAACUCAAAGGAAUUGACGGGGGCCCGCACAAGCGGUGGAGCAUGUGGUUUAAUUCGAAGCAACGCGAAGAACCUUACCAAGUCUUGACAUCCCAUUGACCGCUUCGUAAUGGAAGUUUCCUCUUCGGAGGCAAUGGUGACAGGUGGUGCAUGGUUGUCGUCAGCUCGUGUCGUGAGAUGUUGGGUUAAGUCCCGCAACGAGCGCAACCCUUAUCUCUAGUAGCCAGCAAUACGGUUGGGGACUCUAGAGAGACUGCCGGGGAUAACUCGGAGGAAGGUGGGGAUGACGUCAAAUCAUCAUGCCCCUUAUGACUUGGGGCUACACACGUGCUACAAUGGUGGUGACAAA